This 260-nucleotide signal recognition particle RNA is filed under the name Candidatus Lernaella stagnicola. RNAcentral describes it as "signal recognition particle sRNA large type". It matches the Rfam family "Bacterial large signal recognition particle RNA". Rfam says of the family: The signal recognition particle (SRP) is a universally conserved ribonucleoprotein involved in the co-translational targeting of proteins to membranes. Archaeal SRP consists of a 7S RNA and homologues of the eukaryotic SRP19 and SRP54 proteins. In most bacteria, the SRP consists of a 4.5S RNA and the Ffh protein (a homologue of the eukaryotic SRP54 protein). Lineage: Bacteria; Candidatus Lernaellota; Candidatus Lernaellaia; Candidatus Lernaellales; Candidatus Lernaellaceae. The record is from RNAcentral.
CCGCACUAGGCGGGGAGCCAGCGGUGCCCUGUACCCUCAAUCCGCUAUAGAGGGGCUGAGUUCCCGACCGAGGCCUUAGCGCGUGGACCGGGCAGUUGCCCUGGAUCGGCAGGUUGGGCCCUGCGCGGCAAGCGUCUCCGAACCGUGUCAGGUCCGGAAGGAAGCAGCACUAAGGAGAACAGCUUGGGUGCCGUGGGUUUCCUGACAUUGCUCCCAGGGAAAAACGCCGGCUCGGGUGCGGGUCGACGAAGGGUGUGCGG